CUACGGGUUGCAGCAGUGAGGAAUAUUGCACAAUGGGGGGAGCCCUGAUGCAGCAACGCCGCGUGGAGGAUGACGCAUUUCGGUGUGUAAACUCCUUUUAUAUGUCAAGAAAAUGACGGUAGCAUAUGAAUAAGCACCGGCGUAACUCCGUGCCAGCAGCCGCGGUAAUACGGAGGGUGCAAGCGUUACUCGGAAUCACUGGGCGUAAAGGACGCGUAGGCGGGUUGGAAAGUCAGGUGUGAAAUCCUACAGCUUAACUGUAGAACUGCACUUGAAACUUCUAAUCUAGAGUAUGGGAGGGGGAGAUGGAAUUAGUGGUGUAGGGGUAACAUCCGUAGAUAUCACUAGGAAUACCUAAAGCGAAGGCGAUCUCCUGGAACAUUACUGACGCUAAGGCGUGAAAGCGUGGGGAGCAAACAGGAUUAGAUACCCGCGUAGUC
RNAcentral lists this ribosomal RNA (440 nucleotides) under uncultured bacterium. RNAcentral describes it as "partial 16S ribosomal RNA". It matches the Rfam family "Bacterial small subunit ribosomal RNA", at positions 339 to 795 of the family's 1533-position model. The record is from RNAcentral.